RNAcentral lists this ribosomal RNA (228 nucleotides) under Triticum aestivum (bread wheat). RNAcentral's name for it is "partial small subunit ribosomal RNA". The record is from RNAcentral. Lineage: Eukaryota; Viridiplantae; Streptophyta; Magnoliopsida; Poales; Poaceae.
AUGGCUACGCCGCCCGCGAGGAACAGGAACCUGCGGCCGGCACGGUCCACGACGAAGGUGGACACGACGACGGCGAAUAAGUUGACGAGGCUAAGUAUGACGGAGCCCAAGAUCGCCUUCUGGCUGUCGAACCCCACGGUCCGGAACAGCACCGGCGAGAAGACGGUGAUGACGAUCAUGCCGGUGAGGUCGAAGAAAGUGGGGAUGGCCACCAUCAUCACCAGGUAG